CAUUCCCGGCUGCAGCAUUCCCGGCUGUCCAUCCGCUCCGGGCUGAGGAUGCACACAGAGCCUGCCCGGGCUGCAGGGCACCUCCCGGGAUUUGGGAUCCCCUGUGGAGGGCAGGGGAUUGGGACGGGCUGGGGCAGUGGGGACACCUCCCAAGCUGCCACCCGAGCCCCAGCUGAGCCGAACGUGCAACAACAGCCCCGGGGCUUGCUGGAGACGUGAGGCUCGGGCACGCCGCUCGUUAGCUGUAAUCAGCCUAAUGAGUGGGUUCGUGGCCGAGCAGCAGCAGAGGCAGCUCCGUGACCUCCUUUGGGGCUGUUUGAUCUGCCCGGUUCUGCAUUUCCUCACCCGGGCCAGCCGCUGCUGCAGCAGCUCCGGCCGGGCACGAGUGGGGCCAGCGCUGCCGGGAACAGCCCGUGGGCUGAGCCGCUGCCCUGCUCGGCUCCUGGGAAUAACAGCCUGGGAAUAACAGCCUGGGAAUGAAUAACAGCCUGCUCCGUGACUGACGGCAGGGAUGGCUCUGGCUCACGGCCCCAGCCGGGCAGGGUGGCACAGGCGGUGUCACCCCCAUGCCCGCAGCGUGUGAGGUUUCUGUGCUGGAGCUGCCGCUCCUGCUCUGCCCCAAAAACACACCGAGAUCCUGGAGUUUGUGCCAAGCCAGUUUCAGUCGAGCACAGCAGAGAAAGGGGGGGCUCAGCUGAGUGCUGGGGAGCUGAUGAUGGGGUCACUCCGUGAACGCCUCGGGGGGAUCCCCCCUCUUCCCCGGGGUCUUGCGGGGCCGGGCUCCUCCCAGAAGAGGCAGGAGAAGCAGGCGGGAGGAUCAGGCUGGACGAGGAGAGCUGGGGGCCUUGCCCCAUGUGCAAACAGCAGUGGCUGGGUGUUCCCAGGCCGGGCUGCUGGCUCGGAGGGCUUGGCUCAGGGCCACCGUGGCUGGAUGAGGGUCUCCUGCACAGCCCUGGUGGCGGUGUCACCGUGGGACACAUUGACCCCAGAUGUUUUCAGUGCUGCAGGGACAGCGGCAGCCCGGAUUUUGGCUGGUGAGGGUACAGGGCAGCGAGUCAGCCUGCUGCAGGUGCUGGAGCUCCUGUGCACAUCCCAUCUGCUGUCAUUCCUGGGCAGCCCCGUGUCCCUCUCAGGGACCCGAUUCCCUCAACACCCAGGCCUGUGGCCGUGGGUCAGGGUCAGCAGGAGCUGCUCCAGGAUGGGCAGUGGGGAAGGAGUGUGGGACUCCCAACACCGAACACGCGGCCGUGGGCUGCCCCACGCCCGGCUGCGGUCGCGGUUUAACGCGUUCCCUUUUCCUGCCGCCCACAGGGCUGCGACACCGACACAGCCAGCCCAAAAUAAAGUGACACGGGGGAAAACCACGGCACCUUUGCCUUUGGCAGGCAGAGCGGGCCCUGCUCCAGCCGGUUCAUUCCCGUGGCCGUGCGGCGGGGCGUGGGAGGUGGCAGCGGGCACAAGCGCCGUGUCAGCUGCCCCGGGAAGCAGAGGCAGCUUGAGCUGGCAGGGAGGAGCAGAUUUCUGCUCAGACAGUUACCAGCCUGCCCAGCAGGCUCCACCUGGGCACGUCCCGGUCCUCCCAGCACUGCUGCUCUUGGCCCUUGGCUGUUUCAUGGAGACACCUCCUCAUUUUCACCCCUAGCUUCCCCCAGGAAUGCCCUGGGAAGAGCUGCUGUGGG
This is a long non-coding RNA of Parus major (Great Tit), 1679 nucleotides long. Lineage: Eukaryota; Metazoa; Chordata; Aves; Passeriformes; Paridae. The record is from Ensembl.